GAAAUUGAAAUUGAAUCGCGAUUAUUAGUUAACGCGUAUUUAUUCAAUUUUAUGAUUUUCUUUCUUAGGUCUCAGUCGAAAUUUCAGUUUAAAUCUAUACAUGGAAAAACAGAAUUUACUCUUGUGUAAAUCAACUUUUACAUGAGUCAUAAAGUAACAUUGAGGAAAAGUAAAUUAAACGAAUCAGCCAAGAAAAAAUAAGCUGAUAAGACAAUGUAUCAUCCUAAUGUGAAAACAGAAUGAGAUAAACCAUGAAUACAUAAAACGUGUCUGCCAUGCAAAUUAAUAUUAAAUUAAUUUAUUUUAUCACAUAACACAUGAUAAAUUAUAUAUACACUACUGGUAAACGGUCAGUUAAACAAUUUAUUAGAGAACAAGAAGACAAGAUAUUCAGGACUAUUCAGUUGCAUAUAGUUACCACAUCAACAGAAGCAGAGUUAAUUCAUAGUAACAAUUGGCAAUCUGUUAAUAAUAAAUUACGUAAAGCAAUAACAAUUGAAAUAUCGAUUUCGUAAGAAUAAACUGGGACGAUGACGAGCUAUUGUAUCGUCGUUAAAUUAACGAAAUAAACGAAUAUCUGAUGUAUUUGUUCACAAAUAAGCGCAAAAAAAAAAAUCAGAACUGCAAUACUACCAACAUUAGUUAUUAACAGCUUAUAAACAAAAAGGAAAGUCAGCAGUGAAUACGCUACACAACAACGUAGCUUUCAUUCAAAACAAAGAAAGCAGCUGUUCGAGAAUCAGUAAAUGACAAAGAUAUAUAAAGAUGCGUCAAGGCUCGAAAUAAUAAGAAAAACAUAUAAAUUCAAGGAAGACGAUCGGAAACGCGUAGGCGAAUGAAAAAAUCAAUAAUGAAAAAUAUUACUUACCACUUGUGUAGGCGAUGACAUUUUAGAUUAUAGAAUAAUUUUGAUCUGAAUAAUGUUUCAGGAAAUGAGUUUUAAAUAAAUUAUGUAAAGCGUAGAGAAGGUGAAGCUGUUUCAUAAUUUGAAUUAUGUCGCAUGGUAUCGUAUUGAUCGAUGGAUCGUAUCGACCAUUUUAAAAAUUUGGCGCUCGUUUACCUGAAUACAAAAGCGUGAUAAAAAAAAAAGCACAAUUUGAGGUAUGUAAUU
This is a long non-coding RNA of Osmia bicornis bicornis, 1111 nucleotides long. RefSeq lists it as uncharacterized. The transcript is spliced from 4 exons. The record is from RefSeq and is a predicted model, not a curated record. NCBI's taxonomy places the organism in Eukaryota, Metazoa, Arthropoda, Insecta, Hymenoptera, Megachilidae.